RNAcentral lists this ribosomal RNA (492 nucleotides) under uncultured bacterium. RNAcentral describes it as "partial 16S ribosomal RNA". It matches the Rfam family "Bacterial small subunit ribosomal RNA", at positions 29 to 507 of the family's 1533-position model. The record is from RNAcentral.
AGUGAACGCUGGCGGUAGGCCUAACACAUGCAAGUCGAACGGCAGCACAGUAAGAGCUUGCUCUUACGGGUGGCGAGUGGCGGACGGGUGAGGAAUACAUCGGAAUCUACUUUUUCGUGGGGGAUAACGUAGGGAAACUUACGCUAAUACCGCAUACGACCUACGGGUGAAAGCAGGGGAUCUUCGGACCUUGCGCGAUUGAAUGAGCCGAUGUCGGAUUAGCUAGUUGGCGGGGUAAAGGCCCACCAAGGCGACGAUCCGUAGCUGGUCUGAGAGGAUGAUCAGCCAAACUGGAACUGAGACACGGUCCAGACUCCUACGGGAGGCAGCAGUGGGGAAUAUUGGACAAUGGGCGCAAGCCUGAUCCAGCCAUACCGCGUGAGUGAAGAAGGCCUUCGGGUUGUAAAGCCCUUUUGUUGGGAAAGAAAAGCAGCAGGUUAAUACCCCGCUGUUCUGACGGUACCCAAAGAAUAAGCACCGGCUAACUUCGUG